AUGGCCGAGGGCGACGGCGGGCGGAAGAUAAAAGGAUAGGAAGAAGAGGCGACCCCCGACGGACCAGUCCCGACGAGGGUGGGACGCAUACGGUAGAUCGCGAGGGGGGUAGCGGUGUGGCACACCGACGCCGACGUCGAGGUUGGGGUGGACGUACCGCAGGAGAGGGGCGCCAUUAUAUUUGCGCAGGGCCGUCCAAUAGGGCGCAGUAUCGUCCCGACCGCCGUCGCGUGUACACGUCAUAGUUGUGUCUGGACUUUGUGAAACGCGCGUAAAACCAUCGCCGUCGCCGUCGCCGUCGCCGUCGUCACCUCCCCCUCCCCCCGGAAACGUCCACGUCCGGUGUCCCGGCGAGGGUGAGAUACACGCGAGACACGUACUCGUCCUCUCCUACCGUCUCCUGUAUCCCGUAUCCCGUAUCCGCCCCCGAUCUAUCUUUCUUUCCUCGUGUACCUCUCCUCUACUAUCUCUCUCCGUAUCUCUUCACUUUCCGUACAUUCCAACGUUCGUUUCGCGCGUCGCUCCGAAACUUUUUACGACCGCACGCAGUAUAAACAACAACGGAGAGCGUGAGAGUCCGCCCACGCACGAGGGUCGCAAGUGGAAAGUGAGUUGCGCUGCGACGAAAAACGAAGGAGUCGAAGACCGAUCGAUCGGAGCGUCGAAUUGCGCUGAACAGGGAGUCGUACGUCUAUUGCACGAUGCUCGUCUGGAUAAAAUUUGCCAGUAUUAAACAACGUGAUCAUCCUCGAUGGACUUAAUCAUAAAAUUUAGAACAUCACGGUCAGCGUGCUGAACCUGAGGAGGAGAAUUCCAGGCAACGACGACAACGGAGCAGGCAGCUCAGCAAAAGAAAGCGUGAGAGGAGCUUCUCGAUCGGCUCUAUAUCGAUGGAGCCCUCUUGAUGCAGACCGCGGAAUUACGCGGGGAUCAUUCGGCCUGGUCGUCGGACUAAUUCCACCGGCGGGCCCCGGCGACUUCACGGAGUAGCGAGCUACGUCGCUCUCUCAUCCUCAUCGACGGCGACAGACCCAGCCACUUCCACUUCCUCCACCCCACGUGGCCGCAUCAUUACCUGAUAAGGUAAGUCUUGUCAAAAUU
Long non-coding RNA from Pogonomyrmex barbatus (red harvester ant), 1101 nucleotides. The record is from RefSeq and is a predicted model, not a curated record. Lineage: Eukaryota; Metazoa; Arthropoda; Insecta; Hymenoptera; Formicidae.